GAUGAACGCUGGCGGCGUGCCUAAUACAUGCAAGUCGAGCGAACGGACGAGAAGCUUGCUUCUCUGAUGUUAGCGGCGGACGGGUGAGUAACACGUGGAUAACCUACCUAUAAGACUGGGAUAACUUCGGGAAACCGGAGCUAAUACCGGAUGAUAUUUUGAACCGCAUGGUUCAAAAGUGAAAGACGGUCUUGCUGUCACUUAUAGAUGGAUCCGCGCUGCAUUAGCUAGUUGGUAAGGUAACGGCUUACCAAGGCAACGAUGCAUAGCCGACCUGAGAGGGGGAUCGGCCACACUGGAACUGAGACACGGUCCAGACGCCUACGGGAGGCAGCAGUAGGGAAUCUUCCGCAAUGGGCGAAGGCCUGACGGAGCAACGCCGCGUGAGUGAUGAAGGUCUUCGGAUCGUAAAACUCUGUUAUUAGGGAAGAACAGAUGUGUAAGUAACUGUGCACAUCUUGACGGUACCUAAUCAGAAAGCCACGGCUAACUACGUG
RNAcentral lists this ribosomal RNA (497 nucleotides) under uncultured bacterium. RNAcentral's name for it is "partial 16S ribosomal RNA". It matches the Rfam family "Bacterial small subunit ribosomal RNA", at positions 28 to 507 of the family's 1533-position model. The record is from RNAcentral.